This is a long non-coding RNA of Solanum lycopersicum (tomato), 1850 nucleotides long. RefSeq lists it as uncharacterized. The record is from RefSeq and is a predicted model, not a curated record. NCBI's taxonomy places the organism in Eukaryota, Viridiplantae, Streptophyta, Magnoliopsida, Solanales, Solanaceae.
AUGUGAUUGUAACUUUUACUUUUCAGACUCAAUAAAACAGUUUCCUUUUCUUCUUAAUCAAUAUUCUCUCUGCAUAUUUCGUGAUCCACAUCAAUGGUGGACGUAUGUGCAGAGUAUUAAGCAUAAAUUUGACAUGGUAUCAAAGUAGCGAUCUCAUCUCCAACUGCAUAUUCAGUUUGAGUUCAUCGCAAUUUCUCAAUAGGAGAAAAAAUGCCAGAGGAUCAAUUUAACGCAUCAAUGGCGUCUCCAGCAAUAUCAACACUUGAUCAUCAUCGUCCGUUUUAUUUCAAGCUUCAGAUUCUCUAGGUCUAGUAAUAAUUUCGAUUAAGUUCACAGGUCCAAAGAAUUAUCUCUGUGGCUUCAAUCGAUGAAAAUAGCUCUGCGAAGAAAGGUAAGCUAGGGUUUGUGGAUGUCACUUGUAUUAAGAGCAAUUGUACAGGAGAGUUCGAGGAAUUAUGGGAAAAUGUAAUGCUAUUGUACUAUCCUUGAUUGGUAGCACUGUUUCAGUUGAACUAAUUCCUAGCAUUGUUUAUUCUUUGACUGAUAGAAAGGUUCGGGAAGAAUUCAAGGAACGAUUCAUUCAAUUAAAUUUGACCAGGAUCUGCCAUCUUUGGUCUGAAAUGGCCAAUUUAAAGAUGGGGACUAAUUCUAUGACUUGUUAUUUUUCAAGAAUGAAGGAUUUGUGGAAUGAACUUGAUGUCAUGAUUUCAAUGCCUUCCUGUGGUUGUAAAAAGUGUAGUAUCUAUGUAGAACAUCUAAAAUCUCAGCAAUUAUUAUAGUUCCUUAUGGGACUUAAUGAGAGUUAUUACAGCUUGAGAAGAAGCAUUCUCUCUCGAAAUACCAAUAUGAUAGUCAGUGAAGCCUAUGCAAUCAUGACUCAAGAAGAAAGCCAACGAUCACUGGUAGUAGUUGAUACUCACAAGGAUCCCUUAACAAUGCUAGCUCGGAGAAAUCCUGGUUAUAGACAGAAGAAUCCCGGGAACUAUGGGGGGUCUUCUGAAAACACAACUAGAGGGAAUUGUGGAGGAUUACCAAAAACUGCUGAAAGAAUUCAUUGCAUCCAUUAUGCUUACAAAGGUCAUUUGAAGGAUAAUUGCAAUAGAAUUGUUGUCUAUCCUCAAGUCUUCAAGAGUAUGAGGAGAUCUUCACAGCAAACACAACAGACACAACCUGCACAAUUCAAGCCAACAGCCCAUACUAGCUCCAAUGUUAACUCUAGUUCCAGUGCCAACAAUCAAAGUCAAGGUUCAGGCUACUUCCUCACAGAACAACAAUAUUAGAAGUUGUUUGGUAAACAGACUCAAUCCAACAAUGAGUGUGUUUCUAACAUGGCUGGGGCUCUACAAUGGCAAGGUCUUGGAGAUUGGUAGAGAAAAGGAUGGUUUAUACCUCUUACAGGAGAAGCUCACUCCAAUUACAAAUACUGCAAGUUUCAAGUGUGAUGUUGAAGGAGUUCUUUGGCACCUUAUAUUAGGUCAUGUUUCCACCUCAGUCAUGCAACACAUAUCUUCACUCAAUAAAUGUGUCAGCUCUAUCAUACAGGACAACUGUCAUAUAUGUCCUCUAGUUAAACAUCACAGGUUAAAAUUCCCUACUAGUUGUACUAAGACAGUAGCUUGUUUUGAUUUGCAGCAUGUAGACUUGUAGGGGGCUUACAAAAAGCUUACCUAUAACAAGAAGUAUUAUUUUGUUACUAUUGUGGAUGACUACAGCCUAUAUACAUGGGUUUGCUUGAAACAAUCUUAAUAUGAUGUUAUCAUUGUGUUGAAAAACUUUCUGUGCUUAGUUAAAAUUCAAUUUGAUGCAUUUGUAAAAAUAUUGAGGUCUGAUAAUGGCACUGAAUUCUUUAA